UCCCUCAUUUUUUUUUUUUUUCGAUUUGAGAGCGGCGUUUGUGUUGUUGUAACCAGUUGGUGGCAGUCAUUUGCUUCCAUCACACGAAAGAAAACUCAAUUUUUCCAGUUGUUUCAAUGGCGGGGAAAAUAAAAUUAAAAUUAAAAUUGAGAUGGUGAUGUGUCCAGGCACAGAAAAAAAAAAUUACAAAUCAGUUCCAUGUGUGCGUCUUCUUUAAUAUUCCAUCCGACACUUGAAAACGAAGAGGUCAGAAACACAACAAUAAGGGAUGGGUGGGGUGGGGUCUUAAAAAGAGAGCCAUGGAAAUCUAAUUGGAAUGGAUGCGGUUAUAAUUUCUCCAGUGCCAGCAGCCCUCAAGCAAACAGAUGCGCAGAGUAUUGCGGCAAAUGGCGGAUAGAGAGAAAGAGAAGUGACGGAUUAUAGUUUUGUUCUGGCUCUGCGGCUGUUUCGGAAUAAAGGCAUAAAAAAUAUACUCGUCCAUGGAACGACAUCAAACAAGUGACACGAAAUUUUUAUUUAUUCAUUUUGAACUAGUUUGCCGUUUAUGUUGUAGGGCUGAUGCUGUUCCCUUAUUGUUUACGACACAACCUGAUGAUGGGCUCUUCCCGUUUCCAGCCUCACUCGAAGGUCGCUCUUUUUUUAGUCGGGUGACAAACAUUUCUCGUGUAUAGCAGCCAUAUGGAUGGUACUACUACCUUAUACCUAAAUUUUAUGGCAACAACGGAGGCCAAAACAAAAAUGCAUCAUGUGCAUGAAGAUUCGAAAAUAGAAUUUGUUUAAACAUUGAAUGACUCUUGACUACUUUUAUUUCAGUCGAUGAAUAAAAAUCGAGAGUACAACCAACA
Daphnia magna is the source of this 845-nucleotide long non-coding RNA. RefSeq lists it as uncharacterized. Lineage: Eukaryota; Metazoa; Arthropoda; Branchiopoda; Diplostraca; Daphniidae. The record is from RefSeq and is a predicted model, not a curated record. The transcript is spliced from 2 exons.